Molecule: long non-coding RNA, 257 nt
Organism: Neopsephotus bourkii (Bourke's parrot)
Lineage: Eukaryota; Metazoa; Chordata; Aves; Psittaciformes; Psittacidae
Exons: 2
Source: RefSeq, a predicted model, not a curated record
UAUACAAAUAGAUAACUUUAUUUCUCCAUGCUAGAGAAAUUACUAACAUACUGUGGUGUUCCUUAUCUAGAACAAAGGAAAUGUGUCUGCUGCUAUUACUGAUCUCAGUAUUAUAAUGGAGCCUAGGGGAAAUUCAGAUUUGGACAAAUUUGUGUCAAGCAGUGAAAAAUGUGGAAGUCUUUUAACAUUUUUCAGAAGUCUUUCAUCUUAUGCUGAAUGGUAUGAACAUUGCAGUUGCACCUUCCUACAUUUCAAGG